GCACGCCGCGGUAACACCGGCGGCCCGAGUGGUGAUCGUGAUUAUUGGGUCUAAAGGGUCCGUAGCCGGUUUGGUCAGUCCUCCGGGAAAUCUGAUAGCUCAACUAUUAGGCUUUCGGGGGAUACUGCCAGACUUGGAACCGGGAGAGGUAAGAGGUACUACAGGGGUAGGAGUGAAAUCUUGUAAUCCCUGUGGGACCACCUGUGGCGAAGGCGUCUUACCAGAACGGGUUCGACGGUGAGGGACGAAAGCUGGGGGCACGAACCGGAUUAGAUACCCGGGUAGUCCCAGCCGUAAACGAUGCUCGCUAGGUGUCAGGCAUGGCGCGACCGUGUCUGGUGCCGCAGGGAAGCCGUGAAGCGAGCCACCUGGGAAGUACGGCCGCAAGGCUGAAACUUAAAGGAAUUGGCGGGGGAGCACAACAACGGGUGGAGCCUGCGGUUUAAUUGGACUCAACGCCGGACAACUCACCGGGGGCGACAGCAAUAUGUAGGCCAAGCUGAAGACUUUGCCUGAAUCGCUGAGAGGAGUGGUGCAUGG
Molecule: ribosomal RNA, 540 nt
Filed under: uncultured archaeon
Lineage: Archaea
Description: bacterial SSU rRNA
Rfam family: Archaeal small subunit ribosomal RNA
Source: RNAcentral